UUCGUGUGCAUCGUCACCAACGUGGCCUCGC
This 31-nucleotide non-coding RNA is filed under the name Mus musculus (house mouse). The record is from RNAcentral. Lineage: Eukaryota; Metazoa; Chordata; Mammalia; Rodentia; Muridae.